UUGAUAGUUACCAUCAUUAAGUUGGGUACUCUAUUGAGACUGCCGCUGACAAGGCGGAGGAAGGUGGGGACGACGUCAAGUCAUCAUGGCCCUUACGACCAGGGCUACACACGUGCUACAAUGGGUAUUACAGAGGGCUGCGAAGGUGCGAGCUGGAGCGAAACUCAAAAAGGUACUCUUAGUCCGGAUUGCAGUCUGCAACUCGA
This 206-nucleotide ribosomal RNA is filed under the name Francisella tularensis. RNAcentral's name for it is "partial 16S ribosomal RNA". It matches the Rfam family "Bacterial small subunit ribosomal RNA", at positions 1108 to 1315 of the family's 1533-position model. Lineage: Bacteria; Pseudomonadati; Pseudomonadota; Gammaproteobacteria; Thiotrichales; Francisellaceae. The record is from RNAcentral.